Molecule: long non-coding RNA, 1462 nt
Organism: Apodemus sylvaticus (European woodmouse)
Lineage: Eukaryota; Metazoa; Chordata; Mammalia; Rodentia; Muridae
Exons: 2
Source: RefSeq, a predicted model, not a curated record
UUGCGCCUCCCAGUCGGAGAAGCUGCGGAAGUCGCCUCUCUCCACCACGUACAUGCGGCCGCGGUAGUUGGGCUCCUCAUAGAGGACCCACCUGAAGGCCAGAGGAAGGGCGUGUCACCGGGAGGGAACCAAGCAAGUACAGCUCCCCGGCCCCGCCCCUAGGCCCUAGCUUCUCACUGCGAGUAUCCAGCUCUUGACACAGCCUGGCACAAACGGGACAAUUCCCACUGUGGAUCCACUCAGCCAGCAGCCCUGGUGGCGCCUGUGCUCUAGUGAAAGUGAGCGAGCUGUGUUGCCUGCAUUGUACAGAGGACCUGGAGGCAGCAGGACAGAAGGUCUGGCAAGGGCACCCUUCUCUUGGGGGAUGUGUGUGUGUGUGUGUGUGUGUGUGCGCAUCAGACCUCUGGUCCUUCACAGCCCAGUGGACCAGGGAAUCAGAAAGAUUGACUGGGAAUAUCGGGUGGGUGGUCUCUUCCUGGGAAAGAAAUAAGUAAGGAAGAUAUUCUCAAGUGUAGAGAUGUAAAUGCGGGACCCAGAAGAGUCUCAUAUGGGACCCUCCCACUUGGGGGUCAGGUUUGGAGGCUGGCCUAGGGGAGCUGUAGAAAGUCGGGGAGGAGCCUCCGCCUGCACCAGAGCUGGAACCGCCCACCGUGGUCAAGGGCUGCCUCUGCAUUUAGGUCUUGAGCUCGGGAGGGGAGCCCUGCCCCUCUUUAAGCAGCGUAGAAAACAGCCUUUCUCUGGGGCAUCGUGGUCUUAGGAGGCAGGACUCUGAGAUUGCUGAGCUCAGGUCAUGGGACUACUCUGACCUCUCUGUUCGUAGGGACCGGCCUCCCACAAUGCACCUUGGCAGUUCUUGUUCAUUGGUUCCAAAGCUCUCGAGUUCUCUUUCCAGGGAGUCAACUUGGCCAGUCUGCUUGCAGAUGAACUCAGAGAAGAGAGGCCACAUAGCUCACUUCCCUGGCUCUCUACUCCAAGUCAUCACAGGCCCUCCCUUCCUCAUCCUGACCCCUCCCCUGGAAAAAGGUCUGACAAUCAGGGUCUGGUGGGAAACUAAGGAGUGUGUGUGGGGUGUCAUGCUGGAGAUCAGAGCAGAUCGAUUCCUUACAACCACAUCUCCAAGAGACUGAGCCAGUCCACCCCAUCCUGUACUGCCCCGAGCCAUCGGGGAGCAUUAUGGACACUCCAAGAAGAGAGGGAGCUGGCUGGCAGGACUGCUAACCCUCCGGCUCCUCACUUGCCUAGCUGCAACUCCUGGAGGAAAGCAGCAGAGAAAGGGGUCUCUGGAGAGGUGGCUCAGCAGCUAGGUUCUGGGAACCCACACUGCAGCUCCCAGCCGUCUGUAACUCCAGGACCGGGAAAUUCAAUGCCCACUUCUGACCCACCAGGCAUGCGUGUGAUACACAGACAUGCAUGCAGGCAAAACAAAUGUAUACAAAUAAAACUCAUUUUUAAAAUUUGGAAA